GGGCCCGCACAAGCGGUGGAGCAUGUGGUUUAAUUCGAUGAUACGCGAGGAACCUUACCAGGGCUUAAAUGUAGUCUGACAGCUUUAGAGAUAGAGUUUUCUUCGGACAGAUUACAAGGUGCUGCAUGGUUGUCGUCAGCUCGUGCCGUGAGGUGUCAGGUUAAGUCCUAUAACGAGCGCAACCCCUGUCGUUAGUUGCCAGCAUGUCAUGAUGGGGACUCUAACGAGACUGCCGGUGCAAACCGCGAGGAAGGUGGGGAUGACGUCAAGUCAUCAUGCCCCUUAUGUCCAGGGCUGCACGCAUGCUACAAUGGCAAGUACAACGAGUCGCAAUACCGCGAGGUGGAGCAAA
This 352-nucleotide ribosomal RNA is filed under the name uncultured bacterium. RNAcentral's name for it is "bacterial SSU rRNA". It matches the Rfam family "Bacterial small subunit ribosomal RNA", at positions 917 to 1271 of the family's 1533-position model. The record is from RNAcentral.